This 572-nucleotide long non-coding RNA is filed under the name Homo sapiens (human). RNAcentral's name for it is "HSALNT0390745". Lineage: Eukaryota; Metazoa; Chordata; Mammalia; Primates; Hominidae. The record is from RNAcentral.
CUUGCUCGCGCUCUCGCGAGAGAGCCGUCAUCUCUCCGGUGCCCGGGAGAGGGGCCGGGCGGGACGGUACAGCAACCGGAGGAACCUUGAUUCCCUGCCCCGCAAGCCCAGCACCGGUUUUGCCGCCUUGUCUCGAAGGGUCAACCAGGCCAUCUCCUGCCUCGGGACGGAGAGCGCCCUGGAAAAGGCGGAGGGGCCGACCUUAGUCACACAAGAGCGAUGGCAAGAUUUUCACCCAAGCCAUCUGACUUGGAACCCAUGGAUUAACCAACUGCCACUGGAGGCAAAUCCAGAGACCAAGGGAGCAGUUUAUACAGAAACAGAUGCCGGCAUUAACCCACAGGGAGUUAUUGUUACAGACUGAAGAAUAGAAAAAGAAAAAGCCAAAUAGAGCCUUAUUCCACCCAGCUUAGCUUCCAUAGAACAUUGUGAAUGAGAGAGUAGAUUCUUGAGAAAAUCCUGGGGUUACCCAGUUUUCAUGACUCGUUUCGUUAGACCAUCAUUUCCCAAAGUGUGUUCUUUAUAAAAAGUAGUUCUUCAGAAGGCUGGAAAGUAUUGUUUGGAAGGGGGUU